This 30-nucleotide non-coding RNA is filed under the name Rattus norvegicus (Norway rat). The record is from RNAcentral. Lineage: Eukaryota; Metazoa; Chordata; Mammalia; Rodentia; Muridae.
AAAGUCAGUGUGGCCUUCUUGGUAAGGCAU